AUGGGCUCCAGGCUUCUCCCCUGGGUGAUACUCUGCCUCCUGGGAGCAGGCCCAGCAGAGGCCAGAGUCACCCAAACUCCAAGACACCUGAUCAAAGCAAGAGGACAGCAAGUGACAUCGAGGUGUUCCCUGCCUCUGGGCAUGCCAGUGUGACCUGGUACCAACAGGCCCUGGGUCAGGGCCCCCAGUUCCUCAGUCAGUAUUAUGAGGGGAAAGAGAGAAAGAAAGGAAACAUCCCUAAUCUAUUCUCAGGUCACCAGUUCUGUGACUAUCCCUCUGAGCUGAACAUGAGCACCUUGGAGCUGGUGGACUCAGCCCUGUAUUUCUGUGCCAGCAGCUUGGCACAGCCCUGCAGAGCCACCAACAUUCUGUGCACAAACUUCCCUGCUCAGCAUGCAGCAAACUCAUACCUGUCAUUAUCUGUGACAACCUGUAGAUUGUAGGGAGGGGGGGAAGAAAAUGGCAUCAGGGUGCUGGGAAAUGCUUCCUGGGAUUUCCUGUCAUUCAGGGCUAGGGGAAACAAGGCCAAAAGUGUCUGUUCAGAGGACGGUGCUGCUUUAGCAAUUUUAGUUCAAAAUUGUCUUCUUUGCCUGACAUUGGGGUAGAGGAAGAGUUUGUAGUCUAAUAGCUGGCACCCCAUUUUUCAGAGCAGAGGAUGUCAUUUUGAGGUCAAGAUUAUUAAUAGUGUACUAUAAAAGGUAGAGUCUGUGGGGGUUGCUUUAUAUAGUUGGAGAAGAAGAAAGAAAAUUGGGGAAAGUUGGGAGAAAGAACAUGAUCAAAAAUGAUGGAAAAGAAAUAGAGAGUGUAUGCGGGCUCAAGGCAGUGCUCUGGGCAGCUUGAACCCAAUACCUUCAAUAACUAGGAAAUAAUAUAAAGCAAGGCCUU
RNA transcript from Nycticebus coucang (slow loris), 885 nucleotides. It is a transcript of the gene named T cell receptor beta variable 5-6-like, with no coding region annotated. NCBI's taxonomy places the organism in Eukaryota, Metazoa, Chordata, Mammalia, Primates, Lorisidae. The record is from RefSeq and is a predicted model, not a curated record. The transcript has 2 exons.